UUUUUUUUUUCUUUCUUGUUCUUUCUGGCAUUUUUCCUUUUUUUCAUUCAUUGUCAGUUGGUUUUUCUUCUUCUUCUUUUUUCUGCUUGGGGUUGUUGUUUUGUUUUCCCCCUUUUUUCUACUUUUUCUUCUCAUAUUUGGUUAUUAUUACUUUUUCGUUUUUUUAUUUUCUAUUAUUUUUGGUAACAUACAGUGAACAUUCUUUAUUUUUUAUUAUAUAGUGAACAUUAUUCAAAUACAUACUUAACAUUUUUAGUAUAUGAUUAAUUUUUUUUAGCAACACUGAACAUUUUUAAUAUAUGAUGAAUUUUUAUAAUUAUAUGACACACUUUUUUGUGAGAGAAAUUUUCUGAUUUAUUCAUAAUCAUGACAGUACGGAGAAUACUAGAGAUAAUAAAAAUUACAAUCAGAUCCAUGGACCACCUAGCAACGACUACAAGCACUUGAGCGAGCUGAAGGCGCCGCAGUCAUCGCCCCUCCUUAACCGAGUCGGGCCAACCUCGUUGUAGCAGACAGUCGGGAAGUCGUCAUGCUAAGGCCCCAAAGGACUAGCGCACCAGAGCCGCAACCAUCGCCGAUGAAUAUAGUUGUAGAUCAGAACGAUCAAACCUAUAACCACACGAACGAAGACGAACUGGGUCCAAAUAGAUCCACCAAAGACCAGUACCGACCGAAUCCCGCAAAAUUCGACGGAGACACACCUCCAGACAUCCUCUGACAACGCUAUUCACACCAUCAAAACGGGGAUAGAAUAUGGGAGCCAUUAUUUCUACACACUUAAAAUUUUCCAAAAUACGAAAAACUAUUUAAAUAUAUUGAACUUUACUUUCUAAAGUAUAUUUUGAAAACACAUACUGAACAAUUUUCUAAAAUAUGUUUUUAUUUUAAUAGAUUUUUAAAUAUCCAUCUCCUAAAAACAACAUUCGAUCUUUUGGUGAAAGGCGGACUAAAAGCAGUAGAGAGAAAUAUAAAAAACAUCAUGUGGACAGAAUUGGCCAGCCCAUUUUAUCUGGCUUCUGGGGGAGCCUCCCCUAUUUGAUGCUCACAUGCACCUGACAGGAGCUCUCACCCAUGAACACACAGCGAAACACGACCUGUGGCUAAAAAGAGUGAAGCCCAUCCAUAUAUGAGCAGGCGGGCUGCGCCCGUGCACAAACCCGACGAGAGAUCCAAUCGUCCCCACCCUGCCGAAUCAUGAAGCCAAUUAGAUCUGACGAUGGCAAAAAUUCAGGUAGAUGGAGGCCUUUGACGGAAUGGCAGAGAAGGGGCAGCGGCUACGGUUUGCCGAGAUCAUACAUGACAGUUCCUUGGCUCAUCGGCAAUGGUUUUUAGUGAUAUUACUGAUCCACCAACCCUUGAAGCGCUUUCAUGCCAUGAAGCUCUAGCCCUUGCACUUGAUUUAUCUUUGGUUCAAGUUAUCAUCACGUGUGAUUGUGAUAUAGUUAUAUUCAGGGCUGGGCUCAUAGUGAUGCCAAAUGUGCGGCCCGCACAGGGCCCAUAAUUUCGAGGGGCCCCAAAUUUUUUAUAUAGGCAUAGUAUUUCUAAAAAAAAUGCCAAGGCUCUGCCGCACUGGGCCGCUCGGCGCUGGAGUUGGGCCAAGUCAAGGCCGUCGAGCGCUGGUGCCUCUAUCGCUUGAUGGAAAAAGGAUCGCUCGAUGUUCUCAGAAGAAGGAAACUGCUCGGUCUAAAAACAAGGGAUCGCUCCAGCAGUCGAUUGCGAUCGCCUCGAUCUGAAACCGCAAAAGCAGUCCCGUCCGCGGCGCAACACGAAAUGAGAUCGUCUCGUCGGUUAUCGCCUUCGCCUCAUCAGAGCGACAGAAUUGAGCUGUUGUCGUUGCCUUCCUCUCCCAAUUUUCUGGGAUCGAUACUUCGGUCCGCUGCAGUUCUUUCGCCGUUGAUACAGGAAACAAGAUCGCCUCAUCGGACCUAUCCAUGACCGACUGACCGACUCCAGCCUCCAGGUGCUCAGCGAAUCCUCCUUUCCGAUUAACUUCGGUUCCUACUCCUAAUUCCUAAUUUCCUAAUUAUUUUCAUAUGAAUCAUUACUUCGUUACAGAUUGGUUCUUACCUCCUCGGUUAAAGAUCACAGUCUAGUAGUUCAAGCGGACAAGACCCAAAACUAGAUGAGUUAGACGGUUCGUUUAAUUGCAAAAUAUUAACGCAUGAUCUUCAAUUGAUAUAUGAUAUUUUAUAACUUUUAUUCAUCUUUUUUAUCUCGUGUUUCAAUAAUACAGAUUUGAGUCAUCAUGAGGAAAAAUCAGUCUGGUCCAUAUAAGCGCAAGAGAAAAGAAAGAACAUAAUUUAAUUAGUACAUCUUAUAUUAUACACUAUAUAAAAAAAAUUCUGCGAGAUACAUAUACAUUAUAAUUUCUUGUUAGUUCAUUUUUAUAGCAAGAUAGGGCCCCUUUUUUAGUUUCGCACAGGCCCCGGAUUUUGCCGGCCCGGCCCUGGUUAUAUCAAGACUUGAACGAAGGGGAAAUACAGUAUUAUCUAUAAUACCUAAAUAGUUUAUCCCCACUAACCUAUUUCUCUUGACAUGCAAGCUAUCCACAUCAGCGGUCAUUCUCGUGCGGCCACGUCAGCACUACGUACAAGAGAAAAAAAAUCUAACGCCACAUCUGAUUCCACUCGGGCAAAAAAAAUCCACCACUCGCCUCCGCUGUAACUGGCGGGUCCUUUCACUGUCUUGAUGUCCCACGACCGCAAAUUGUUGAUCCCAACUCCCAAACUCCAUUCUAACACAUGGGUGUGCUGCACGAGAAUAUCUACCAUCCCAUGUUUUGUUGUGAGCUAGCCCCACAUAUCGAUCGCUGAAGCUAGCUCACCGAUUGCUUAUGCUAGCCCACAUAUGCCAUCGCAUGACUCAUGGUCAUUCGCACGGCUGUUACGUUCCAAUUCUUCAAUGACACCCACUAUUUCUCCACCAUCAUUUCACAAAAAACUGAAGGAAUUGCAGCAGUCGAGGACAUUGAUAGGUGAGCAGUCAUCUGCACUAUAAAAUCUGCCUCAAUUCUGCCUUCUUCACAAAUGCAUCGGUGUUUAGAUUUUGUAGCUAAGCCUUCUCUAUUGAAUUGUUUACUAAUAAAACUCUUUCGUGUAUUGGUUGGUAGUCUUUUUGUCUAGGUCCACGGCUUAGCAUUGGUUCAUAUUGGGGUCACCAUAAUGCUCUCUCUCUUCUUUAAUUGCUUUGCCACAUCAUUUUUCUGCCUAUGUGACACCCUUAACACCUGUACACCAUGAAGCACUGGGAAGGGCCUUACGGUAACCACAAUAUAGCCUUCUGCCUUCUAGCCUUAACGCUGCUGCAACCAUUGCCACAUGGUGUUGCCAUCAAAAACUUACGGCGGUGAAUCCAAUGCUUGAGUCUCGCACCGUGCUGAAAGGCAAUCAUCAGACCGGCAGUCUCCUCUAUUAUGGUGCAUAUAUAUGUGUGUUUAGUAUAUAGAAGUUUUAUUUAGGGGAGUAUAUAAAAUCUUUUGAAGGUGAUCAGUUCGCCACUAAAUGAAUUUUUUUGGCCUAUUUCCGUUCAAGCUGCUAAUGAGCUUCUCAUACGGGUCAUCUCGGCCUGUCAUUGUCGACGCUAAAUUUUUUUCAGCUGAUGUUUUUUCUGCAAGAAUUUUCACUCUUUUUUUUUGCUGCUAAAAUUUUCAGCUGAUAUUUUUUCCUGCAAGAAUUUUCACUUCAUACUUGAGAAAAAUUAGCUAGCUUCCAGUUAUGUAUUUUUUUUCUGAAACAUCUCCACGGGUAAGUACUAGAAAAGUUAAUUUGGUUUUUCUACAAAUAUGUAACUAACAAUUUGUUUUUUGGUUUCAUGCGGUGCAGCGUCAUGACUCCUAUCCAGAUUAUACAUUACUAUUUUGUCUACUUUAAUGGUCAUGGUCUUGCUGCCUUUAUUUUGCGGAUUUGAAAUUGCGUAGUACUCCCUCCGUCCUAAAAUUCUUGUCUUAGAUUUGUCUAAAUACGGAUGUAUGAAGUCACAUUUUAGUAUUAGAUACAUCCGUAUCUAGACGAAUCUAAGACAAGAAUUUUGGGACGGAGGGAGUACUAAGGAAGAGGAUAGACAUCAUUGCAUGUUUAUAAAAUGUUGUAAGAUCAAAUUGUCCUAUAACAAUCGGCCAUGUGUACAAUGAGAUGGUCUUUCCCUCCCCCUACUGUGUGUGAAUAUGUCCAGAUCUAAUUAGUUGUUUUGGUGAAUUCUAAGUAUAAGCACCCAGAAUACCAGCAGAAUAUUACUGUGCUUAAAUUUUUAUUUACAUUGUUAAUUGUUUACACCGAAAAAUGAAGUCAACAACAAAUCUUUCGGUACAUUUUAGGGAUGAUAUGUUUGACCAUCCAACAAUAUAUCGUAUUAUUGAUCGUAUUAUGUCUCCUUUUUAUAUCUCCUUGAUACAUGUAUAUGUAUAGCUAAACAUAUCCCGCAGCAACAUGCGGGUUAUCAUCUAGUUAUCAAGGAGAUUGCAGCCCAAGCUCAAGACUUCACUAGGUGUGAGUUCAUUUUUUUUAAGGGCGGCAGAGGGAUGUUGAUGCUCAACUUAGCUAAAUUUGUUGCUAGUUUAGAUGCUGGUCGCCACUUGUGGCUGGGUCUUCCCCAUAACCCUUUUGUUAUUCCUGUAAAACGUACUCCUAGUCAAUAAAAGUUGGUUUACCGCUCAAAAAUAUAUACUAGAUCCGACGAUAGAUCAAGUGAAUGUGACAUAAUUUAAAACUCAGCUAAAUCUAUUUUCUAUAGCAUUUUUUGUCAAGUUUACGCGGCGUGUUAUUUCUUCAUGAAACUUCAUAAAUUGGCAAUGCACGUUGCAACUUUUUCUAAAUUUGUUUUUGAUUUUACAUUUUUUUCAUUGAUUGCUUACCAAGCAAGCCGCUUAAUUGAUUUUACUAUCCAUAGAGAUAAGAGAUACGUAUCUACCAUGUUUGAAAAUAGUGCCCUGAGAGCAACUCCAAUAGCUCCCAUGUCUCAAAAAAACUAUUGUUUAUAAAAAGUUGAAGAAAAAAAGACCUUUAAUAGCUUCCAUAAACCUGAUUCUUUUUACGGAUCCCGUAAAGACACCUCCUCCAUCCUUCAUGUUACCGUAAAAUAGUUUUCCCGUAUAAUUUUGGCUAGCGGAUAACCGUCUGAAAUUUUAUGAUGAGCGCCGCACCGCCAUUCUGGCACGCCGUCCAGCGUCGUCGUGCCGGGCCGCCACCUCACCAUAGCCCCUCUGCUACCGCCACCGCCACGCCGCCAUGGCGCCUCACCGCUCGCCCCUUUGCCGAUCCUUGAUGUCUACUACACAACUUGUUUUUAGACUUGGGCCAGAGUUUUGUAGGACAGUAGCAAUUUUCUCUCAAGUUGAUGACCUAAGGUUUAUCAAUCCAUGGGAGGCGUAGGAUGAAGAUGGUCUCUCUCAAACAACCCUGCAACCAAAUAAUAAAAAGUCUUUUGUGUCACAACACACCAAAUACAAUGGUAAAUUGUACAGGUGUGAUACAAGUGUAGUAAUGAUAGUAGAUAUUGAUUUUUAUAAUAGUAACAAUAAAAAACAGCAAGGUAACAGUAACGAAAGUGAGCACAAACGGUAUUGCAAUGCUUGAAAAUGAGGCAUAGGUUCGUACUUUCGCUAGUGCAAUCUCUCAACAAUACUAAUAUAAUUGGAUCAUAUAACCAUUCCUCAAUGUGCGAUGAAGAAUCACUCCAAAGUUUUUAUGUAGUGGAGAACAUAAGACGAAAUUGUUUAUAGGAUAUGAAACCACCUCAAAGUUAUUCUUUCCGAUCAAUCUAUCCAAGAGUUCGUACUAAAAUAACACCAAGUUAUCAUUUCCGAUCGAUCUAUCUAAGAGUUCGUACUAGAAUAACACGAUAUGAUACACAUCAACCAACUCUAAUAUCACCUAGAUACUCCAAUGUCACUACGAGUAUCCGUGAGUUGAUUAUACGAUAUGCAUCAAACAGUUUCAGAUUCAUAAUACUCAAUCCAACACAAAGAACCUCAAAGAGUGCCCCAAGAUUUCUACCGAAGAAACAAAGACGAGAACGUGCAUCGACCCCUAUGCAUAGAUUACCCCAAUGUCACAUCAGGAAUCCGCGAGUUGAGUGCCAAAACACACAUCAAGUGAAUCAAUAUGAUACCUGUGACGCCCGGAUAUUUAAGCUACAGUAAUUCCCUACUAAUGGUGCCAUGUCAUCACAUUACUGUUGCUAAUCCUCGCUUGAUCUAAAUCGUAGGUCAAACUCAAAUUCAAAUUAAAGCCCAAAUAUCAAAUUUCUCAAACAUGCAAGAUAAAAUAUUCAAAGUGUGGCAAAUUUUCCAUAGCUAAUUAUGGUGAUGAUACGCCAUUUUUGUAAAGUAUUUAAAUGCCCUUUUGUGAAUGAAAACAGUAGCUAACACAAUUAGUUGAAUGCCUUUCCUAAUUUUAAAAUGUUAAACUAUUUUAUUUAGGAGUAAAGGUUAAUGUGGCAGUGGACUGAUUAUUGAUACUAAUUUAGGGUCUAACUUGAUAUUUUAUAAAAAUAAAAUAAAGCUAAAAACUAAUAAGAGGAACAAAGAAAUGUAAAGAAGAUUAGAGAAGGAGAAAACCCCUGGGCCUUAGCCACCGAACAGGCCCAGGUGGCCUAGCCCAGCUCACUCCUCCGCGGUCGUCCCGGUCCCCUGUUCAACCGACCGAGGCGCGCGCUCAGACCACCUCGCCUCCCCGCGUCUUGCCGCCGAGGAGAUAAGGCCGAGCCCCCUCGGUCCCGUCAUCCUCCCAGAGAUCUUUUCCUCCUCACCCACUCCCUCUCCCCUCUCCCCUCACCUUCUACGCCCCUCCACCGGGCGUUGUCGCCGCCGCGGCACCUCCGUUGGCGUGGCCACCGGCCACCAUUCGUCGUCCUCUGGAGCCCCAGAGGACCUACAUCGUCGUCUUCGUCGCCUACACUGCUGGAUCGGGCCCGGGGGACCACCUCGGUGACGCACGCAUCGACUCCUUCCCCCUCGGCCACCACCGCCAUCGCUGUCGAUCUGCACCUCCCGAACCCUCCGGCUUCACCAAGCACCACCCGCGAGCAUCCUGGUGAGCCCCAACUCCCGCUCGACCUCCCCUUGCCUUCCGCCGUACCCCAUAGCCGUCCUGUCGUCGAACACUGCUCCCCACGCCCGAUGUCCCGCCCCUGCUGCAGCCCAGCCCGCGCUUUGCCACGCCGCACCUGCUCCCUCCGUCGCCUGCUGCGGCUGCGCGUGCGCCGCCUGCGCCCUGCACGACCUCGCACAGCGCCCGCUACUCAUCACACCUGCACCCGCGCCGUGCGCGCCGUGGCCGCAAUCGCCUGUAGCCGCUCGACAACGUUGACAUCGCCUCUCCCCGCGCUGCUCGCCUGCUAUGCUGCUGUUGUCGCUGCUGCACGCGCGCGCGUGCUCGAACCGCAGCAGCGCCUGCCGCCGCUCGCGCCGCCUGACGCCGCUCCCUUGCGUCGGCGUCCCCGCGCCUUCCCUUGCGCCCACCCGCGUUCGCGCCUUGGCCGGCCCCGGCGUCGCGCGCUUGCUGCGUACGUGGGCCGCUCGCUCGCGUCAUGGUGUUCGCGCACUGCAUCGCCCGCGCCACGGCUCUGCCCAUCGCUCCUCUACAUGUACCACUACUAGCUACUGUACAUGUUGCUAGCUUUUCUAUUUUCACAAUGACUAACCCUCUUGACAGCCUCUGAUCAACGGUUAAACAACUACUAACAGGCCUAAAAAUAAUAUGUGUAGAAAGUAUACGUGACAAACUCUAUUUUAUCCCACUGGACCAAAUCCUUUUGAUGAAUAGUUUAAAUCCUACAAAAAUCACAAAAUGACUUCUUAUGUUAAUAACUCCUAGCCUACUAACUUGUGUGUGCGUCGUGCAUGUGGCCGUAGUGACCGGCCCUUGCUUAGAUUAGUACUACUAGGUGUUAAUUAGUGGCUAGAAUAGUCUAUGUACAGAUGACACGUGGCCCCUUUUAUUUACAAGCCUAAUUAAUAGUUUGUGCCAAUGACAAGUAGGGCCCAAUGCAUUGUUCAUUGGUUGACUAGUAAAAGUGUUGACUGAGUCAACCCAGCUCCUUGACCCCGCAUGUCCUUGAGUGUGGCUAGCCCCCUGCUGAGUUAAAAAAAAUCAUUUCACUGUUUGUCAUUCGAAUUAAAUAAAUUAAAGAUUCUUUAAAUUUUAGAAAAUCAUAUAAAAUAAUCCAUAACUCCGAUGAAAAUGUUUUAUAUAUGAAAGUUGCUCAGAAAAAUCCAAUAAACCCGAAUAUGCUGUCCGUUCAUCUGUCACAUGCCCCUAGCAUGCUGAACAUAGAACUUUUCCCCUCUUUCCUUUGUCCGAAAAACGCCAAACACCGGAAAACCUCCGGAUGUUUUCCCUCUCCGUCUGCAACGCGUAUGAAAGAACAUGCGGUGCCCCCAUGUUUGGUUUUGGUAAUUGAUUACAAUCUCUAUGGACUAAUGGUUGCCUUGAGUUACAUUUGAAGGAUUUGUCCAUAGGCAUUUCUUGAAGUUCAUGUGUUGGUUUCAAGGAGUUUAUGUGGUGACCAAGGUGUUAUUAAGGAAUUAUCCAAAGAUUGGUCAUGUGAGAGUUGAGCUUAUUGCAAGCAUGUCUUGGAGAAGAAGAUUGUGUGAUCAUUCAUGUAUAUCUUCAAGACAUCAUCCAAAUGAAGAGAGUUGAAAAGAUUCAAGGUUGAUCAAGAAUAAGUCAAGAGUGAAUCAACUUGAUCAACUCACAAAGCGUAGAAGAUGUACCGAGAGGGAUCAAGCGAUCCCAUGGUGUGGUAAGCAUUGUCAAUUACGCUUUGUGUACUAACCCAUGAUCUUCGUGAGAGUUAUUUGUGGGGUUAGGUUGCGGUGUGCAAGUUCAAGUGAAGCAUCAUGAAGAGAUCAAAUGCUUGAAGCUUGCCGUCCAUUGUGGUGACAAUGGACUUGUGAAGAUGUGCGGAAGAGUGGCUCACCCAUAGUGGAGUAUGGGGGAGCAAUCAACUAGUCUUCAUCGAGCCAACACAACCAAGAAAGGUGGUCCAACUUGAGGGAGUCAAGAUCGUCAUCAUCUAGCUCAAGUGGACCAUGUGCAAGGCAAAGGUUUGCCCUUGAUAGGUUUUCUAUUUUACCGGUCUCAUGAUGGUAGUUGGGAGACCGGGUUAUAGGAUCGAUUGCCGUACUAUCAAGGGGGGCUCUCGAUGAGUAGCUUGAUCAUAUCAUUCGUAGAGAGCUCAAACCAUUGCAUCCUUGCAUCAUCUUUAUUGGUUCUUGUUUGGUUCUUCUCUUUGUGAGUUUUGGAGCUUAUGGUCAUCUUGAUGACAAGCUCGAAUUCAUCGAAAACGGAGUUCACUCGCAUCUUCUAUGAUGUUUUCGAUGUUGGAGGUUAUGCCGGUUCUUCUCGGUUGGAGGUUUCACUCCUCUAUUUGUUGGCAUACCUCCCCUGCCUCUUCUUACUAUAAACAGUUGCUUUUUUGAUGCUACUCGUCUUCCUCUAUCCAACAAGCUUGAGUUUGCUCAAUUCGGAGCUCAUAUGCAGAAGUUAUGGCAGUUUUGGUCCCAGCGGUAGUACCGCGGGCCGGAGCGGUAGUACCGCGGGCCGGAGCGGUAGUACCGCUUGGGUGCUACAAGCGGUAAUACCGCUCCAGAGCGGUAGUACCGCUCCAGAGCGGUAGUACCGCUGGUAGCCCCCAGCCGUAGUACCGAUGCGGUCUCAUACUAGUACCGCCUCGAUUCGAGGGGUCUUUUUUCGUGUCGGGUUUUACAGUACUAGCCGCGGCAGUGGGGACCGUAGUACCGCUCAUUUGCGGUAGUACCGCCCUGCCACCGCGGUAGUACUGCUCUGGGCCCAGCGGCAGUACCACGAGGGGGAGCGGUAGUACCGCUUAUAGGGGCAAGCGGUAGUACCGCUCUCUGCGGGGCUGAAGUGGGGGUAACGGUUGGAUUGUUCCCCCCACUAUAUAAGGAGGUCUUCUUCCCCAAUGAACCUUAUCCUUUGAGCUCGUGUUCUUUCCCCAUUGUUGACCUUCUUCGAGCUUGCUAACUCUCAAUCCCUCCAUGGAUUCUUGCUAGUUUUUGAGGGAAAAGAGAGAGGAGAUCUAGAUCCACAUUUCCACCAAUCACUUUCUCCUCUUUGUGAGGGGAACCCCUUGGAUCUAGAUCUUGGAGUUCUUGGUGUUCUCCUUCUUGUUCUUCCUCUCUUUUUCCUCCCUAGCAUUAGUUGUUUCGGUGGGAUUUGAGAGAGAAGGACUUGGGCACUCCGUGUGCCCUUACCAUUGCAUUUGGUGCAUCGGUUUGAGUUCUCCACGGUGAUACGUGGAAGUUACAAGUUGAGAAGCUUAUUACUCUUGGGUGCUUGGUGCCCUUGAGCUUGUUCCUCUUGGGUGCUUGGGCGCCCUAGACGGUUGGUGGUGUUCGGAGCUCAAUCAUUGUGGUGUAAAGCUCCGGGCAAGCGCCGGGGUCUCCAAUUAGGUUGUGGAGAUCGCCCCGAGCAAUUUGACGGGUACCGGUGACCGCCCCCAAGGGUUGCCAAAGUGUACGGGUUCGGUGACCGCCCCCAAGGGUUGCCAUUUGUACGGGUUCGGUGACCGCCCUCAAGGGUCCCUUAGUGGAAUCACGGCAUCUUGCAUUGUGCGAGGGCGUGAGGAGAUUACGGUGGCCCUAGUGGCUUCUUGGGGAGCAUUGUGCCUCCACACCGCUCCAAACGGAGAUUAGCAUCCGCAAGGGUGUGAACUUCGGGAUACAUCGUCGUCUCCACAUGUCUCGGUUAUCUCUUACCCAAACCCUUUACUUAUGCACUUUACUUUGUGAUAGCCAUAUUGUUUCUUGUCAUAUAUCUUGCUAUCACUUAGUUGAUUAUCUUGCUUAGCAUAAGUUGUUGGUGCACAUAGGUGAGCCUAGUUGUUGUAGGUUUUGUGCUUGUCAAAUUAACCGCUAGGUUUAUUCCGCAUUUGUUCAAGCCUAAACCGUAAUUAUUUUAAAGCGCCUAUUCACCCCCCCUCUAGGCGACAUCCACGAUCUUUCAGCGUAGUACUGCGUUAGAACACCCCUAGCACCGCUUUUUGUCCUGUUGUGCUUUAUGAUGCUUUGUUUGCUUUAUAUUUAUUGUUUCUUCUCCCUCUUCUCUCUGGUAGACCCCGAGACCGAUGCUGCCCCUGUGAUCGACUACGUCGACGACGACCCCCUCCUUGCCAGAGCAAUCAGGCAAGCCCCCCCUUUGAUCAUUCCGAUAUCGCCCAUUCUAUUCUCUCAUGCUUGCAUUAGUUUUUGCUACUGUUAUUGUUUGCUCCUAUUCUGAUGCAUAGCCUGCUUUUGUAACCUGCUCAUUGUACCUUACCUGCUUAACCUAAACUGCUUAGUAUAGGUUGGUAAGUGAUCCAUCAGUUACCCCCACCUUGUCCUUGUUGCCCCUGCUUCAUCAUUGAAGACCGGUUCAACGGGAUCGAAGACCAGGCCCCGGCACCGCACAUCACUUUCCCCUUAGUUGCUCGACACUACUGGGUUACUAUCGAGUGCCGAGGGUGAGACCUCUACAGCACUUCUGAUGUUAACCCUGUAGUGUAGCUAUUCGGUCGUGGUCAUCGGGGGUGAUUCCGCCUUAACCACUUCCGAUACGACUCUGUCGUGCAACCCCUCAAGUGUGAACCUCGGGGGUGGUUCCUCUUACGUUCACCUUGAUGAUUACAUCGAGUGGAAUUCACCGGGGGUGAUUCCUCAGGUUUUCCCCUUGAUGUUUGGACACACGGAUACUUGGACUUUAUAGCUGUUACUUGGAAAGGCGGGUCGACCCUGAGGGGUACCCGCGAGUGAUGUGGAGACGGGUUGACCUGGAGGGUGCCCGCGAGAUAAUUACGAGGCGUGGCCGGGCAUUCCUAGCCCUUGCCGCAAGUCCUCGAGACGAGGCAACGGGGUCACAUCUUUCGUGAGUCUCUGCUUGUUACCGCGCGUUCCUAAUCCGCUACGAUUUGGAUAUUUGAUCCGAGGGGCCUCUCGUCUGAUAGCACUAACCAUCAUGUGGGCAUAGUAUGGGCGUUCUGCGUCGUAUGCAUCAGCCGCAGCUUAAUAGACGUCAGCGACUGAGCGGCGCGCGCCGGGUUGGACUGGUAAGCACCUGCCUUUUUUAAGGAGGUAGCUAGGUCUGCUCACCGGCCGCCCUUGCAACGUGCAGGAGUUCCCGGGGCGAUGGCCCAUGACCCCUGGGGGCAUAGGUUUAGUCCGGUGUGCUGGCCUCUCUAUUAAGCCUAGGUCGGGUUGCGGCGUAUUGUUUGGCCGAGGCCGGGUGAAAGAUCGUGGAUGUCGCCUAGAGGGGGGGGUGAAUAGGCGCUUUAAAAUAAUUACGGUUUAGGCUUGAACAAAUGCGGAAUAAACCUAGCGGUUAAUUUGACAAGCACAAAACCUACAACAACUAGGCUCACCUAUGUGCACCAACAACUUAUGCUAAGCAAGAUAAACAACUAAGUGAUAGCAAGAUAUAUGACAAGAAACAAUAUGGCUAUCACAAAGUAAAGUGCGUAAGUAAAGGGUUCGGGUAAGAGAUAACCGAGGCACGCGGAGACGACGAUGUAUCCCGAAGUUCACACCCUUGCGGAUGCUAAUCUCCGUUUGGAGCGGUGUGGAGGCACAAUGCUCCCCAAGAAGCCACUAGGGCCACCGUAAUCUCCUCACGCCCUCGCACAAUGCAAGAUGCCGUGAUUCCACUAAGGGACCCUUGAGGGCGGUCACCGAACCCGUACAAAUGGCAACCCUUGGGGGCGGUCACCGAACCCGUCAAAUUGCUCGGGGCGAUCUCCACAACCUAAUUGGAGACCCCGACGCUUGCCCGGAGCUUUACACCACAAUGAUUGAGCUCCGAACACCACCAACCGUCUAGGGCGCCCAAGCACCCAAGAGGAACAAGCUCAAGGGCACCAAGCACCCAAGAGUAAUAAGCUUCUCAACUUGUAACUUCCACGUAUCACCGUGGAGAACUCAAACCGAUGCACCAAAUGCAAUGGCAAGGGCACACGGAGUGCCCAAGUCCUUCUCUCUCAAAUCCCACCGAAGCAACUAAUGCUAGGGAGGAAAAAGAGAGGAAGAACAAGAAGGAGAACACCAAGAACUCCAAGAUCUAGAUCCAAGGGGUUCCCCUCACAAAGAGGAGAAAGUGAUUGGUGGAAAUGUGGAUCUAGAUCUCCUCUCUCUUUUCCCUCAAAAACUAGCAAGAAUCCAUGGAGGGAUUGAGAGUUAGCAAGCUCGAAGAAGGUCAACAAUGGGGGAAGAACACGAGCUCAAAGGAUAAGGUUCAAUGGGGAAGAAGACCCCCUUUUAUAGAAGGGGAAAAAUCCAACCGUUAUGUGCUCAGCCCGCACACGAGCGGUACUACCGCUCCACGAGCGGUACUACCGCUCUGGCGGAAGAAGCAGGGAAAAGGAGCAACCAAACAAGAACCUUGGGGCGGUAGUACCGCUUAUAAGCGGUACUACCGCGCAUCCCAGCGGUACUACCGCUGGAGGAGCAGAACACGGGACCAAAAAUGCAGCAGCGGUACUACCGCCCGACCGGAGCGGUACUACCGCUUAUAGGCGGUACUACCGCCCAUCAGGGCGGUACUACCGCUUAUAGGUGGAACUGCCGUGCCUUACUGCCGUGCAACUACUGCAAAACUCGACACGAAAAAUGCAAGACCCAAAAUCGAGGCGGUACCAGCGCGGAACCGUAGCCGUACUACCGCUUAUGGCCAUAGGCGGUACUACCGCUUUGGACAGCGGUACUACCGCUUGGGGGGAUAAGCGGUACUGCCGCUCUGGCCGCGGUACUACCGCUAGGAAACCAAAACUGCCAUAACUUCUGCAUAUGAGCUCCGAAUUGAGCAAACUCAAGCUUGUUGGAUUGAGAAAGACGAGUAGCAUCAAAACAGCGACUGGUUAUAGUAAGAAGAGGCAGGGGAGGUAUGCCAAAAAAAUAGAGGAGUGAAACCUCCAACCGAGAAGAACCGGCAUAACUUCCAACAUCGAAAACAUCAUAGAAGAUGCGAGUGAACUCCGUUUUCGAUGAACUCGAGCUUGUCAUCAAGAUGACCAUAAGCUCCAAAACUCACAAAGAGAAGAACCAAACAAGAACCAACAAAGAUGAUGCAAGGAUGCAAUGGUUUGAGCUCUCUAUGAACGAUAUGAUCAAGCUACUCAUCGAGAGCCCCCCUUGAUAGUACGGCAAUCGAUCCUAUAACCCGGUCUCCCAACUACCAUCAUGAGACCGGUAAAAUAAAAAACCUAUCAAGAGCAAACCUUUGCCUUGCACAUGGUCCACUUGAGCUAGAUGGUGACGAUCUUGACUCCCUCAAGUUGGACCACCUUUCUUGGUUGUGUUGGCUCGAUGAAGACUAGUUGAUUGCUCCCCCAUACUCCACUAUGGGUGAGCCACUCUUCCGCACAUCUUCACUAGUCCAUUGUCACCACGAUGGACGGCAAGCUUCAAGCAUUUGAUCUCUUCAUGAUGCUUCACUUGAACUUGCGCACCGCAACAUCUUCAUAAGUCCAUUGUCGCCACAAUGGACGGCAAGCUUCAAGCAUUUGAUCUCUUCAUGAUGCUUCACUUGAACUUGCACACCGCAACCUAACCCCACAAAGAACUCUCACAAAGAUCAUGGGUUAGUACACAAAGCGUAAUCGACAAUGCUUACCACACCAUGGGAUCGCUUGAUCCCUCUCGGUACAUCUUGUGCGCUUUGUGUGUUGAUCAACUUGAUUCACUCUUGACUUAGUCUUGAUCAAUCUUGACUCUUUCCAACUCUCUUCAUUUGGAUGAUGUCUUGAAGGUAAACAUGAAUAAUCACACAAUCUUCUUCUUCAAGACAUGCUUGCAAUAAGUUCUACUCUCACAUGACCAAUCUUUGGAUAAUUCCUUAAUAACACCUUGGUCACCACAUAAACUCAUGACCAAUCUUUGGAUAAUUCCUUAAUAACACCUUGGUCACCACAUAAACUCCUUGAAACCAACACAUGGACUUCAAGAAAAGCCUAUGGACAAAUCCUUCAAAUAUAACUCAAGGCAACCAUUAGUCCAUAGAGAUUGUCAUCAAUUACCAAAACCAAACAUGGGGGCACCGCAUGUUCUUUCACCGGGCAUGACCCAGGAAAGUGUGUCCGGCCGGAGUUAAUCGAGCGUGGUGGGUAAGUUGGUGCACCCCUGCAGGGAAGAAAACAUCUAUCGAUAGCCUGUCCUACGGUAACGGACACUUGGAGUUGUAUCCCGAUCGAUACAACUAGAACUGGAUACUUGAGAUGAGACAUGGAUAUGAGGUGAUAACUGGAUAGUAUGGCUCUGGGAUUGCUUUCUCGCAGGGAGUCGAGAAAGGAUCUCUGGCUGAGGUUGAUAACACUUCUACUACCUUACUUUAUGCUACUCUACUCCCUCCUGUUGCUGCAAGAUGGUGGUUUUUAGAAGAUGCUAGUCUUCGAUAGGACUAGGUUCUCCCCUCUAUUCUGGCAUUUCUGCAGCCCAGUCCACAUAUACAGCCUUCCUUUGAUAAUGAUGCAUAUGUAGUGUAGAUCCUUGCUUGCGAGUACUUUGGAUGAGUACUCACGGUUGCUUUGCUACCCCUUUCCCCCCUUUCUUCUUCUUUUCGGUUGCUGCAACCAGAUGUCGGAGCCCAGGAGUCAAAUGCCACCGUUGAUGCCUACUACUACGUGGAGGCCGACGACGACUAGGAGUAGUUAGGAGGCUCCCAGGCAGGAGGCCUUGCCUUUUCGAUCGAUGUUGCUUUUGUGCUAGCCUUCUUAAGGCAAACUUGUCUAACUCAUGUCUGUACUCAGAUAAUGUUGCUUCCGCUGACUCAUGUGUAUUCGAGCUUAUGUAUUCGAGCCCUCGAGGCCCCUGACUUGUAAUAUAAAGCUUGUAUUAUUUUAAUUUGUGUCUAGAAUUGUGUUGUGAUAUCUUCCCGUGAGUCCUUGAUCUUGAUCGUACACAUUUGCGUGUAUGAUUAGUGUACGAUUGAAUCGAGGGCGUCACAAUACCCCAUUGUCACCACGGGUAUUCAUAGCAAGACAUACACCAAGUGUUCUCAAAUUCAUAGAAGUAUUCAAUCUGAUAAUAAUGAAAUCUCAAAAGGAAAACUCAAUUCAUCACAACGAGAUAGAGAGGAGAAAACACCAUAUGAUCCAACUAUAUUAACAAAGCUCACGAUACAUCAAGAUCGUGCCAAAUCAAGAACACGAGAGAGAUAUUAAACACAUAGCUACUAGUACAAACUCUCAGCCUUGAGUGUGGACUACUCCUUCCUCACCAUGGAGACCAUAGGGAUGAUGAAGAUGGCUUCCGGUGAUGAAUUCCCCUCCGGCAGGGUGUCGGAACGGAGUCUAGAUUGGUUUUCAUGGCUAUAGACGCUUGCCGCGGCGGAACUUCUGAUCUAGUGUUAUUUCUGGGGGCUUCUCUAUUUAUAGGAUUUUUUGGCGUUGGUUUCACACUAAGACGAGUCUCGAGAUGAGCACAACCCACCACGCCUCGGGCUGGGCUCCAGGCGCGCCCUGGUGGGUUGUGCCCUCCUCGUGGCUCUUCUGGCCCUCCCAUGAAGCUUCGGGGGUCUCUUUUGUUCAAAAAAAAUAUUCAAAAAGUUUCAGCCCAUUCCGAGAAUUUUAUGUCUGCACAAAAAACAACACCACGGUAGUUUUGCUGAAAACAGCGUCAGUCCGGGUUAGUUUCGUGCAAAUCAUACCAAAACCAUAUAGAAUUGUUGUAACAUGACAUGAAUACUUCAUAAAUUAUAGAUACGUUGGAGACGUAUCAACCCUCUGUCACCGCCGCUGCCACAGCACGGGCCGCUACGUCGCCCGGUAUCGCCGCCGCCACACCGCCAGGGCAGCCAAUUGCCGCAUCCGGAACUCCCACGCCGCGUUGCCCCGUGCUAGCUGCCGAUGCACUGCCUCCCCAUACCGCACCUCGCCGUUUAGCGUCACACGUGUCAGUGACAUGCGGGGCCUACGCCAUUGUAACUAAAAAAAAUAAACAUCCAUUGCAACUAAAAAUAAAAAUAAACAUAUUUUUACAGAAAAGAGGUUUACAGGAAAUGAGAAAAGUUGUUGUCUGCCAACUUCUCGUAAAUUAUACGGUCAAUCCGUAAUAUUUUUUUAUGGGAAGAUUUUUAGAGGAGCUAUUGGAGUUGCUCUAAUACUUUAUUUUUUUUGAGAAACACAAUUAUUAAUUAUUUUCCGAGGUGCAAGAUUAUUAUUCCACCCAAAUUGCUGCAAUUUUUGUACAUUCCAGCCAAAUUUUGCAUGGGGUCAGAGUCAGACGGCCGGCUUUUUUUAGGGAAGAGUCAUACUCAUACGGCCGGCUGCCUCUUCCUUGUUGGUCCUCUCGGGUCUUGGCCCACCACGAGAGUGUACAGCGCACCAUGACGGGAAGAAGAGACCAGGGGCGCGCCUCCCGACGCAACAGGGAGUUAAUAAAAUGCAGUCUGGUCAGGUCCAGCGUCAAAUCCGCCGCGCACUGGGUCCCGCCUCGUCACUCCCUCCCAAGCCCCCCAACUUCUUUUUGUCAACUUGUUCCGCCUUCUCUCCCAGCCUCGCUCGUAGCUUCGCAGCCCUCCCGGCCAACGACCCUCGCCGGCGAGGCGCACCGCGCGGGAGCCAAAAUGGCCGCGGCGGAGGCCGAGGCUUUCUCCAUACGGUACCCUACUCUCGUCUUGCAUCCGCUUGUUUUCUCGGGACACGCGGCUGAUGCAUGCUGACCUGUUCGACCGAAUGCCGCAGGGGGUUCGCCGCCAGGAUGCGGGCCGUGGACGCGGCCAAGUGCUGGCCAUUCGGAGGCUCCGAGGACGGGGACUCGGAGACGCCGCAGCUCCCGCCAAUGGACCCGACGCCGCGGUCGCGCUGGUGGGCCGACGAGCUUGCGGCGUUGCGGGCGCUGCCGGGUGUCUGCGCUGCGGGCGGAGACUUCGCCGUGGGUGGUGGCAUGGGAGAUGGUUUGGGGAAGGCGACGAAGAGGAAGGGAUCUCGCGGGAGCGGCGGUGCCGAGAGGGCUAAGAGGCGGCGGAGAGCGCUCCAGUAUAGCCUCUUUCUGAAGCACAAGGUACGCUUGGUGCCCCCGCUUUGCUUGCCCUUGCCCCGAGUAUUCGCGCUAGUAGCCGUUCUCUGGGUUCAACUUCAUAUAUGAUGUUCAGUUUAGUACUAGCUUUUAGGAAGGCCCUUGUUACAUUGGUAAUUUAAUGUCAUUUGCUUGCUCUAUGUUUCUGCUGGUAGACAUAAACAGUGAACACAAUGCGUCCAACAAGACCCACAUUAUGUAGCACCGCGGUUAAAAUUUCUGCUGCAAUGUGCCUGUUUUAGCCAUUUGAAGGUGGAGUGGUGGACAUUGGAAGUAGAUGUUUAAUCCAUAGGAUUUAGAGGUAGUAAUCCAAUACCUUGAUUAAUUGAACGAAAAACCACACCCUGCAUCGCCCUCCCCGGAUGGUGGUUGCCGGGCUUGUUCUGGCCCGCAGCGACGGCGAAGGAUAGGUCCACAAGCGGCGGCUUGAGCCGACAGGGGCUUGGUGCUGGCGGUUGGCCGCAUUGGUGGUCCGUCAGCCGACAGCUCCCCAUCGGCGCGACAUCAGGACCUGUCGCCAGCGUCUGUAUGGCAAUGAAGGCAUGGUUCCUGCUCCCUCGGCGGCCGGGGUGAUACACAGCAAAUUAUAGGGGUGGCCUGAUCUUCAUGAUUGGACAGGGAUUCAUGGAUGAACACGAGGAACAAGGGAGGAAUAGGAUUAAGAGGGACACACGCAAGGAUAAGGUUCACAACAAAAGUACUAACUCAAAUCGUAAGGUCAAUGCGAGAGGAACCUCAAGAUCCAAUAACAAGCAAAUGAAAGAAAAAACAUGGCGGUAGUUCAUCCCUAAAUCUCCAUGAGAAAUGGAGGGCUUGAGAGAUAGUUCGUCCCUAAUUGGAAGAGAGGAGGCGUUGUAAUCCAGAAGGAUUCAUCACCACAUAGAGGUCUUGUAAGCCGGUUGGAUUCUUCUCUGCAUAGGACGCCUUGAUCCCCUUGGGGUAGGUAUAUUGAGCAAAGCUCUCCCAAGUUGUUUGUGUAUACUUUGCUAACACUAGAUCUAUUGAGGGGCAUGGUAUUUAUAGUCUAGGACGAAAGGGUACGGGGAGGAGAUACACGGGCGCUACCCAAAAAAUGUGCAUAAACAGUACUACCGGACAAUCCAGGUUGGGGGCGGAAAGUCCGGUUGUGCUAUCCUUUGGCGCCAUUUUGCACUGCUGGACAGUCCGGGGCGCAGGGACCAGACAGUCCGGAUGUGGAGGUGUAGUUGCACGUUCGGAGAAAUGACUGGUAGUUCGCGAAUUCGUCCGGAGGAAAUAUACGGUUUUUGGUUUUCGCCCGGUGAUUUCCCAGACUAUCUGCUGGAUUCGUCCGGGCAAAACAUAGACGUUUUGGGGUCACGCAGGUGGUUGCCGAACUGUCUGGUAGUGCACCACGAAUACUUCCCUUUUUUCCUUUCCUUCUUCCUCGAGUCUUCGCUCCUCACUUGGGUCUUGGGCUUCUUACUUGCUUCUCCUUGGUACUUGCCUUUGUACCUAAGCAUGCAUAAGGUGUCGGCUUGAGGUAGUAGCCAGAUCUCAUUCAAACGCAAAGGUAGCUCAAAGAGGAGUGAACUCACCUUGGUUUAUAUAGCGUGUACACGAGCUCUUGUCAUUGGUCAACCUGGCCUUGGCAAUGAAUCCAUGGUGAUGUCGGUGGGAUGCUCCUCAUCAUGUUGUGGCGCUAGUCCCUGCAAGGGCAUUGAUGUGUGGGUCCUCUCCUCCCCACCGCCAUCGCCUAUGUCAGCGGCGGGGUCUCUCAUCCACCUCUCUCAUCCACAAUUCCCUAUUGUCUCGUCUCUUGAGCCGAACAUAACACGCCAAUGUUGGCCUGGGAUCCCUGGGACUUCGGCGUUCCAGAGCGGUGCCUGCAGGUGGUCCAUGAGGUGUGCUUGGUGUGUGGUGGUUGUUUAGGCUGGCCGUGUGGGGUUGGCCAGCGUCUGGCAGGGGGUAGUCGAUGGUGUUGUUGUCGUGGUAGGCUCAUGUUGGACUUAAUGCUAGGCGUAUGGUGGCCUCUGUUGCCGGCGUGGUGUGCGAACCAGGUUCUUGGGCUAACACUAUUGUAGGCAGUGUCAGGGUUCUAUUGAUGGCUCAUCAUGGAGCUGCGCCAUUGCGUGUGUUAUUGCCGCGGCGCUUCAGGCGAAACCCUGCUUGAACUUGUCGGUGUCGGAGAGGAGGGCUGCCCUCGAGCAUCGUCUGAUUGGUGGUGUCAUCUAGGAGCCCAGAUUCACCCCCAACCCUCGUGAUCUGGUUCCCUAAGUGAAAAACAUGAUUUGGCUUGCCAAACCAAAUUGUCGUGGCGCAGAUGACAUUGGAAGUUGGGGGCGAAUCUGGGCUCCUCUAAAAACAUGAGCUGGUUCCCUUUGUUCUAAGCGUUGUUCUUAGAGGUCUGACCCUAGCUUAGUGCGUGAACUGGUGACACUCGCCUUGGCUCUAGCUGGUAGAAUCUAGGUGCACCUACAAGGCUGCAACAUGCAAAUGCGGUUACCUUGGACGUCAUGGGUAGUGAGGAUCGCGGAGGAUGGGUCCCGUGUCGUGGCGUCUUGGAAGCAUGGGGCCACACAACAAGUAUCGGCUGAUGAUUGCAGGCGUAGGUUGCGACCAACGAGGGAUAUGGCAAGGUGUGGUGAUGUAGCAUUCAAGAUGCCAGCAGCGAUUCUAGGGCCUUGGCACCAUUGUAGUGUGAGGCCGGCGGUCCGUGACACCAUCAACUUUUGCCUUCUCUAAUUUGGGAGGGGCCCAUUUUUCCCCUUCUCUGCAAAGUUGGAUUCUCUCUUCUCGUGGUGGGGGAUGCGUCAUGUGCACUUUUAUGGAUGGUUGCUAGGCCAGGGUUUGUUUUGUGGUCUCGGUUGUAAUGUUGGCCCAACAGCCGGUCUUGUGUUGAGUGGCUACUUGUUUCGGCUUAGUCUUAGGCUUGUACAGUUGUAACCAUAUUCUUUCUAUCCGUGCAUUGAGGGGCAAGCUUUGUGUGUUCCCGGAAAAAAAAUCUACAGAAUUUAUGUUCCCGUUCUUUUGAGGGUAGAACAUGCCAAUGGUGCAUAUAGUGUGUACUUACCUACUUGAUGAACUGUAGAAAGGAAUAAGCCAAUUUUACCCUCCCAGACCACUUACUGCCUUUGUAAUGCCCUGACCAAACCCACUAGUUCCUGGUCAUUGCGCCUGGGAUCUAGAAUGGCCCCAGAGAAUUAGCCAGAGUGAGGACAAAGUUGCGUUCAAGGAGGGUGUUAUUUAUUUACCAUUGCUGGCUAUGAUGCCAUUUCACGGUGAAUUUUGGUCAAUUAAGCUACUGACAUGGCAGAAUUACCUAGAAAUUUUGACUGCCCUGUGGUGUUGACAUGCUUUUCUAAGUUCAAGGGGUCGAAUAUCUGGUUUUUAAUCAAAGUAUAGUUUUGAUUUUGUUUUGGGCCUAUUGUAAGAUUAGAGAAUCAUGGUUUCUAGGACUGUUAAGUUACAUGUUCUAGAUUUAGGUUAGUUAUCCACAUUUACUUUUCCAUAAUUUUAAACAUGCGCGUUGCUCUUUCUUUGAAAACCUGUACAAAGAAACAUUGAAAGUGCAUACCACAUAGUAUUAUUUAUUGGUCGGAUUAUAUAGAAGUUCUAUUGACUAACCACCUAAUUCCAUGUACGAGUUUCCUCUACAUGGUCAGCUUACCUUGUUAUUCUCAGCUAAUAAUAUGUAAGAUGUUUUCUUUAACAGGAGAGAACCUCUAAACUCCAACCAGCAUCUCGCUUACUUCAACACAUGCUCCAUAAGGGUUUGUUGAGAAAACGAAAAGGCUGUACUAUUCCUACACUAAGAGAACUCGUUAUGAGGAAGAAAUUGCAAGAGCGACAGGAUCAGAUGUCAACCCACAGAAACAGCUUGAAGAAACAGUCCGUGAGAGGAAUGGAUCACGAACGAAGCAUAAAAAUCAGCAGGCCAACUGAUUAUCCUGUAAAUCUUGGCUGUGAAGUAGUGAAGCAUGUUGCAUGCCCACCCAAGGAUGAUAUUUUUGGAGAUCUACCUCUUUUAGAAAGCUCAAAAGUUAUGUUUCAUACUGGAGUUGACAUACUCCCUACUAUUAUAGAAGAUUCUUUUGUAGAAAAUCAAAAUGGGCCAGAUGCCAUAUCAGAAACUGAACCAUUGGAACUAAUGCCUAUUGCUGACAUUUCAAAGCAAACAUCACCCCCCUUUGAAGACUCAGUGAAGAAGGAACAGAGUCCUGACAAAGGGUCAACAUGCAUCUUACUCAAUGAUGCAGGAAGGAAUCAUUCUUCCUCUGCUGAGUUUGAUGGUCUGCUAAAUCAUGCUAGUGUUACCAUGGCGAAAACUUCUCUUCCUGAAAUGCAGCUGAAAUCUACCGAUGUUCCUGCUUUAAGUUCUUAUUGUAACGAGGGAGCAAAAUCUGGUACUAGCAACUGUGCACAUGGUCGUUUCUACACAAACACAGACUGCUUUCAGGAAAUGGAAAGGCCUGGUACCAGUUCGGUGGCCGUGAGAACCAGAACUGAGGCAAUUAAAAAAGAAGAUGCAGCAAUCCAUGGUGUAAACAAUGCAAGUGUCACCAUGGCGAAAACUAGUCUUCCUGAAACGCAGCUGGAAUCUACUCAUGUUCCUGCUUUAAGUUCUUGUUCAGAGGCCGUGAGAACCAGAACUGAGGCAAUUAAAAAAGAAGAUGCAGCAGUCCAUGGUGUAAACAAUGCAAGUGUCGCCAUGGAGAAAACUAGUCUUCCUGAAACGCAGCUGGAAUCUACUCAUGUUCCUGCUUUAAGUUCUUAUUGUAACGAUGGAGCAAAAUCUUGUCCUAGCAACCAUCCGCAGGGUUGUUUCUAUACAAACACAAACUGCUUUCAGGAAAUGAAAAGACCUGGUACCAGUUCAGCGGCCGUGAGAAUCAUAACUGCAGCAGUUACAGAAGAUAGAGAUGCAACUGUCCAUGGUCCAAACAAUACAAGUGUCACCAUGGCGAAAACUUGUCUUCCUGAAAUGCAGCUGAAAUCUACACAUGUUCCUGGUUUAAGUUCUUAUUGUACCGACGGAGCAAAAUCUGGUUCUAGCAACCAUCCGCAGGAUCGUUUCUACACAAACACAAACUGCUUCCAGGAAAUGGAAAGACCUGCUACUAGUUCAGCGGCCGUGAGAACCAGAACGGAAGCAGUUGCAGAAGAUAGAGAUGCAGCUGGCCAUGGUCUAAACAAUGUAAGUGUCACCAUGGCGAAAACUUGUCUUCCUGAAAUGCAGCUGAAAUCUACUCAUGGUCCUGUUUUAAGUUCUUAUAGUAAGGAUGGAGCAAAAUCUGGUUCUAGCAACCAUCCGCAGGGUCAUUUCUACACAAACACAAGCCGCUUUCAGGAAAUGACAAGACCUGGUACCAGUUCAAUGUCUGUGAGAACCAGAACUGAAGCAAUUGAAAAAGAUAGAGAUGCAGCAGUCCAUGGCAAGAAGAGCACUGGUAUCUCUGGUCGACCCGAAUACCAUCCUUCAGGUGAAGGCAAUCUAUCGUCCUCGAUUAUGUCACAGAGGACUGUCAAUGCAGGAAUAAACGCAGAUGGCAUGUCUUCCUGCAGGAGUAUGCCUGCCCAGGAAUAUGCCCCUGCUUCUGUUCCUUGUAAAGUUGCAAGCAAUGUGUAUCAUGAAAGUAGAAAGUCUGUGGAUACAUGCACAGCAUUAUCAAUGGAUGACCAAGGUAGCUGGUACUCAAAAAAUUACUCAGGUCGCUCUCCGGCAAGUAUUAGUUUGCCUUUUAUGGAGCUACCUGGCCUUGAAAAGAUGGAGAUCUCAAGCUAUGAUCCGAGGACAGGUGAAAAUAACUUUAUGAAUGGACGAUCAAUGAACAUAGUAAGAUGCCAACAACAGAAGCAGGUGAGUGGCAUGACCAGUACUAUGCAAAGUCAGAAUAAGAUUGGUUUCAGCGAUUCUCAAGCUGGGAAAAAGGCCCAAGAUGGUUUUGUGAGACGUGAUAAUUGUCAUUCGUACCAACCCACCAUGCGCUUAAUGGGCAAGACAGUCUCACUUUGUAAAGAUAGCAUGGAGCAGGAGGUACCAACUACAGGGAAGUGGAUUGACAAAAAUGUUAUUGGAGACCGUCCCCCAUCAGUUUCAUGCCAGUUGCCCCCAAAGAAGGUGUUCCCUUAUCAAGAUUCUGUGAUACCAAGAACUCAUGUUCAUGAAUCUUCAGAUACUUUGCCAAGGAUUCCCAACAGUACUUUUGCAGAGGCAAGGCCUAUUGUCAGUGAUGCUCAAAAUCAUAGGCUGACACAGACUAAUAUUGUUUCUUCAGCAGUUAAAGAUUACACUUGGAAUUCAGGCAGUCAGUUUGGCCGGCAAGCUCAGGUAAACAAAGAGUAUGUCAUAAGUAACUCAAGGACCAGGCAUAUGGAGUUGUCUCAGCCACCUGAGUUGAUAAGCAUUCAUCGGAACCAAUACUUGCACUUAGGCAAUCCUGCAUCAAGCAUGUAUGCAGAAGAACACACUUUUGUUGGUUCAGCAGUAAAUCGAUCUUCUCCUUCAUUUCCACAGUGGUCAUUAAAUACAAGCAUGCAGGGGAAGUACCAAAAUCCCACUUCAUUGGUUUACGAAGAUCCUAGGUCUGUUCGUACCCACCAACCUCCCUGCCAAGUACCUGGAGCAAAUCUAUUUUCAGCAUCAAACAUAUCUUUUCAUGACUACGGUACAAAAAAUGCCGAGUCCAGAAACUCUUAUCAGCGAGCACAUCCUUCUCUUCCAAGUAGUGCGGCAAGUAAGUUCCAUGACUACUGCACAAAAAAUGUCGAUUCCAGAUACUCUUAUCAGGGAGCACAUCCUUCUCUUUCAACUAGUGUGGCAAGUAAGUCUAUUUGGGCAAGUAAGUCUACUCGCGAUGUUCUGAAUAUAGAUGGCAGGAAGGGUGUUUCCCUAGUUGAUGAAAGAAGCAAGAGACCAGGUUGUGCAGAUAAUGUUUCACAGCAACCUGCAAAGAGGCAGCUUGUUGCAGACAAACCGGAGUUAACAAGUUCGAUGUUCCCAUGCAUGGAGAAAUACUCGUUUGGCUGGUCAGUAAAUGAUACAGUUGGCCCGCGGAUGCUUGACUUCAGUAACAAAAAUAGCAGGACAUGCCACACAAAUAUCAAAAAAUGAAAAAACAAUAACUUAGGGGGGAUGCCAGUUCCAGUUGUUGAAGCAAGAUCAAGGACUGUAAGCAUGUUUGCAGGAGCUAAAAGCACGCUAAAGAACGAUCAUUCAAAGAUGCCACAUUCCACUAAAUUUUCAGUUGGUAAUAGUGGAAUGUCAGAAAGAAACAGUGGAGUGUUCCUGUUCCACUUAUUAUUUUGGUAUUCGAAUAGUCGGCAAAAGGGAAGCUGUGGUAGCCUUUUCUGCAUUUCUCAAGAUGUUAGUGUAGCAAUCAGUCGAUUGCUUGUAAAAACUUUGUGGGCAAAUGUGCAAGCAUAUUUUUCUUAGAACAGUACUCCCUCCGUAAACUUUUAUUAGACGUUUUAGGUCACGCUUACAUACCAUGGCAUACCACAAGCACGGGUUAAAUUGCCAAAUGUUGUCGAUUCGAGUAUUUUCUGGGGCCUCCUGUUCGUACCGGUAUGCGGUCUGGCGCAACACAUACUCCUUCCGUCCCAAAAUAAGUGGCACAUUGAACUAAAACAGCAACACUUAUUUUGAAAGCGGAGAGAGUACUAUCAGUUCAGAUCUGUAAUCUGCAUAGUCUUCGGUCCAGAAAGUAAAGUUAGGGUUUAGGGUUUCGGGUUUAAGGUUGGUAGAUUCACUGAUCAGCACUUCUCUGCGCAACAAGCCAGGGAAGACAACGACAGGCGCAUGGAAAGCAGGAUUUCUUUCAGAAAGCUGCGCCCACUGACUCUGAACUGAACUGAAAACGGAAACUUCUGAUGCAUGUCACCUAAGGUAGCCCUCUGGUCGUGCAACCUUGCAAAAGGGUGCUGGCGAAACGUGCAAUCGCCUGAGACCAUCCAGUUUGUUCUUGCUUUCCUUGGGCCAAGAGUAAGGGAGACUUCGCAUCGUAUCUGCAAGGGUUCCUUCCUUGCCCCCCUUUAAACCCCAGUUUUAAACUGCCCCAACACAAGUAUAAAACCAUCAGGUGUGUCCCUUGUCAUCCACACCGUCCCAUACCGACAGACCGACCGACCGAGGACAUCAAGAAACCUCGGAGAAAGCCUCUCGCAAGCCGCGGCAGCGAACCAUGGGUGUUCUUGGUGCCCUUGCCAGGCAUUUGGAUUCCCUUGUUGGGUAAGCAGAUCACACCUGUUUAUUCAUGUUGCUGUUUUUUUCCGUUUCAAAGAAAAUGUUGCUGCUUUUGUUCAUUUCCUUGCGAACUUCGAGACUUGCACUCUAAUAAAAUUCGUGUUUCUCCUAUGUUGCACUUCACAGCCCAGGAAUCAUGCUGCUUUAUCCGCUGUAAGUGAUUCAUCAGAAACAAUGGUUGGUUUGGGAGCUAUUUCAAAACUGUGCUCUGAAUUCUAACAAUGUUUGGUUUUCUUGCACGAUCAGGUACGCGUCGAUGCGCGCGAUCGAGAGCCCUUCUUCCUUGGAUGAUCAGCAAUGGCUCACCUACUGGGUGCUGUACUCCCUGAUCACCCUCUUUGAGCUCUCAUGCUGGAAGGCUCUCCAGUGGUAACCAUGACUCUUCUCUCCCCUGCUUGAUUAGUUCAGUUAUUGUUCGUUCCUCGGGCACUGAAUUCCUCAAGAUUUCGCUCUGCCUAUGUAUAUAUGUACGUAUGUUUCAGGCUCCCUCUGUGGCCAUACAUGAAGCUCCUCUUCUGCUGCUGGCUGGUGCUGCCGAUCUUCAACGGCGCGGCCUACAUCUACGAGACGCACGUCCGGCGCUACUUCAAGAUCGGGCAGUACGUGAGCCCCGGCUACAGCGAGAGGCAGAGGAAGGUGCUGCAGAUGAUGAGCCUCGACGCGCGCAAGUCCGUCGAGCGCUUCAUCGAGACGCACGGCCCCGGCGCUCUGGAGAAGAUCAUCCAAGCCGUGAGUCGUCGUCCUUGCUCCAUACACUAUCUGCAUAUAAGCUCUUUUGUUUUUCUGAAUGUUCAUGUCUUUUUUUCCCUCCUUCCUGAUGCGAUCGUUGACUUGUGCAUGCAGGCUGAACAGGAAGCCAAGAGAGCCUAGGUUUAUUUAGCGUGUGGUGAGGUGGAAGGCAUUCUUUCAACCGGGAGAAGAGAAACGAGUGGAAAUGAAAAUGGCUGCCGUGUGCUGUGAUCAAUAUGCUUCAGCAGCUGUUAUCCUUGUGCCGUGUGUUUGUAUUUGAUCUGUUGGUUGGACUUGGCAAGAUACCUUGCUGUACAUAAGAGAUGAUGAAUGAAACAUUCAGGCUAUACAUGUGAAAUGUGAUGUGAUGUACUCAACACGAAAUGGAGCACGACCACAACUAGUCUCUGAAUAAAUGAAAACCAGAAUUUAACUGUCCUGAACACAUCCCUUUCUCUCCACUGAACACCUUAAUCCUUGUGAUGAAUGAAAACCAAUUAUUGUCUAUACCUGUUACACAACUGCAUGCGUAUUCAUCGCUAAAUGAAAAAAAACAAGAACAGACUAAUAUACGCGCGCUUACAGAUCGAAAAGAAAUCCUUUUCCAUGCCCUUGUUGGCGAUAGGAAAUGGGACUUGUACAUCUUUGCAUAUGGGAUCAA
Molecule: long non-coding RNA, 27591 nt
Filed under: Triticum aestivum (bread wheat)
Lineage: Eukaryota; Viridiplantae; Streptophyta; Magnoliopsida; Poales; Poaceae
Description: long non-coding RNA (TAES_LNC000399)
Rfam family: MIR1120/MIR1122 microRNA precursor family (bases 3913-4047)
Source: RNAcentral